AUUGAACGCUGGCGGCAUGCCUUACACAUGCAAGUCGAACGGCAGCGCGGGCUUCGGCCUGGCGGCGAGUGGCGGACGGGUGAGUAAUGCAUCGGAACGCGCCCAGGAGUGGGGGAUAACGUAGCGAAAGUUACGCUAAUACCGCAUACGUACUGAGGUAGAAAGCGGGGGAUCGAAAGACCUCGCGCUCAUGGAGCGGCCGAUGUCGGAUUAGCUAGUUGGUGGGGUAAAAGCUCACCAAGGCGACGAUCCGUAGCUGGUCUGAGAGGACGACCAGCCACACUGGGACUGAGACACGGCCCAGACUCCUACGGGAGGCAGCAGUGGGGAAUCUUGGACAAUGGGGGAAACCCUGAUCCAGCAAUGCCGCGUGUGGGAUGAAGGCCCUCGGGUUGUAAACCACUUUUGGCAGGAAAGAAAUCGCCUGUGCUAAUACCACGGGCGGAUGACGGUACCUGCAGAAUAAGCACCGGCUAACUACGUGCCAGCCGCCGCAGUAA
Molecule: ribosomal RNA, 500 nt
Filed under: uncultured bacterium
Lineage: Bacteria
Description: partial 16S ribosomal RNA
Rfam family: Bacterial small subunit ribosomal RNA
Source: RNAcentral